Molecule: small nuclear RNA, 164 nt
Filed under: Dasypus novemcinctus (nine-banded armadillo)
Lineage: Eukaryota; Metazoa; Chordata; Mammalia; Cingulata; Dasypodidae
Description: U1 spliceosomal RNA (ENSDNOG00000040777.1)
Rfam family: U1 spliceosomal RNA
About the family: U1 is a small nuclear RNA (snRNA) component of the spliceosome (involved in pre-mRNA splicing). Its 5' end forms complementary base pairs with the 5' splice junction, thus defining the 5' donor site of an intron.
Source: RNAcentral
AUACUUACCUGGCCAGGGAGAUGCCAUGAUCAUGGAGGUGGUUUUCCCAGGGCAAGGCUUAUCCAUUGCACUCCUGAUGUGCUGGCCCCUGAGAUUUCCCCAAAUGUGGGAAACUCAACUGCAUAAUUUGUGGUAGUGGGGGGCUGUGUUCGCACUCUCCCCUA